CAGCAGAAGCCCCAGCAGUGCGCAGAGAGAGACUGUAAUCUUUGCCAUGUCUUCAGGCUGCAGAUGGAGUCCUCAGAUCCUGAUGCGUAAGUGUUCUUCAAGAUGGGAAGGCUGAUAGGUGAUGCUGGACAUGCUGUGAUGCUGGUGUAUAUGUACUCGCUGAGGGGAAAGUCCUCGGCGUAGGUUUCCAAGGGGAAAUGUGACAGCAGCAACCACAGCACUGACGUGUAAAUUCCAGCCCUUGUGUUCCCUCAAGGGUGAUUGACAGGUAUUCACAUACUGCUGAAGAGAUAACGAGCCAUAACAAAAUACACAUUUUGUGGUAUCGUAUAUAUCUAAAAUAUGGGACUUGGUGUGGUGUCUUAUACAUCUAAAGUAUGGGACUUGGUGUGGUGUCUUAUACAUCUAAAGUAUGUUGAUUUUUGUUUAAUUACAUUUUCAUAUGUAUCAGAUGAUAUUAUGUUUAUGGGGUGAUCUCCAAGAGGGGGUUUAAACAUAAUUGUUUUAGAAAAUAAAAGCACAGCAAUUAUCAUUUGAAGAGACAGAUUCCCCAACCGCCUGCCUAUCAGUAUGAAUGAGCUGGACAGUUAUACCCCUUGAAUUACCCAGAACAAUAAUAGAAGCCUGGUUUAUUAGUAAUGUCUUAUAAUCAAUAUGCUGUACUAAUUUUAAGCUAGCUAAACUAUCUUAUAGUAACUAUGAUAACUAUAUAUCACUGUCACUGUUGAUAUUUUUGUAUAUAUCAACAAAUAAUUUAGAAACAGUCACAUAAUUAUAGUCUGUAGAGUCCGCAAUUUUUUCCACAUGAAGUAAACAUAAUGUGAGAUGUCUGUUACCAUUCUGAUCAGAAAUAUUAAGAGGCUCCUGACACAAUCAAUACAUGAACAAAUGCUCCCAUAUAAUAAGUCAUAUUCCUCUGAAAGCAGUUUAGUUCAGAAACAAUGUAGUGCAUACAGAUGGUAAAGAUGGUAAGUACCAUAACUAGGCUUACACCUGCCUCAGACUGGGAAUGGGACCUGUUAUAAAUUCAUACUCUUUUUUUGUCAGAUGCUGCCAAUCAAUCAGGUCCGAAGUGAAUCCAUCCAUCCAUCCAUCAACCAACCAAUCAAUCAAUAAAUCAAUAAAUCAAUAAAUCAAUCAAUCAAUCAAGUCAGUCAAAAAAGUAUAUCAUAGUAUAGUACGGUAUAGUAUAGUAGAGUAUAUACAGUAAAGUACAUGUAAGAUAUACAUUAUACAGUGACUUGCCAUAGUAAGCAUAUCCCAUUACUCAUGAGGCAUAGUCUGUAGUGUCACACAGUCUGUGAUACAGUUACACUUAUAUGGUUUCAACAUGUACCUAUAUGCAAGAUAUUUUAGCAGAUUUUGGCAGCCGAACUCUACCCUCUCAAUUUGUCUCUUUCUUCCCCUUCUAUCCUUGACUCUCUUCGCUGUGGGAUGCUGCUGUAGUUUCUCCACCUGAUCUACUUUCAGAAACCCUCGACCUACCCACCCCCAGCGUCAUGCACUUAUUCUACCCCAUACUCUGUGCUAGCUUUACCUUCUAUGUAAACUUCUACCGUGUACCUGCUACCCCUUGUAAUAGUAACCUGCGAUAAUCUGCCAUGUUUCUGAUUGCAUACAAAUGUAAUUUAUAAUAAAAAAAUCAGUAUGCCUACAAAUUAAAGUCCCCCCCAAUAUGUGCAGAUCAGCAUUUCCUGAGCCUCUGCUACACCAUCUCACCACCACAAAUUGCACAACUUUUGCUUGAACCAGAACUGUGGGUUUGAAGGGGAAAUUAUGUUUUAAAAAAGAAAGGUCAAUGCUGCCUCAUGACCUGUUUAGUGGUAAAGACGACCCAGUUGUUCCUCUUGAUAUUCACUCCAAAAGCCAAAUCGUGUUCUUGUGACCUAGAAAAAACACAACAAAUGGUGCACAGUUUGUACAAGAUCAGUUUUCCCGUCAUCAGCACUGAAGACAGUACGUCACGCUUUUGUUUUUCAAAUAACAAAAAUGAUUAUAUGACCUGUAAUGAAUAAACAUCUCACCUCAUGUUGUGUGAUACACCCACAACCCAGAACAUCUUUUCUUUAAGCAUUACUCUUGAAACUUACUCACAAACUCUCACAAUGUCCUUUUUUUAUCUUAAAGGUAGUGUCAGUGAUUGAUUUUCAAGCUGAACAGCCAAUCAAAUGAUAUCCCUUCCUUCCAUGCUCCUGAAGCAAUGUGUUAAUUGGCUAAAAUUGUUUA
Molecule: long non-coding RNA, 2226 nt
Organism: Clupea harengus (Atlantic herring)
Lineage: Eukaryota; Metazoa; Chordata; Actinopteri; Clupeiformes; Clupeidae
Source: Ensembl